GCCUUCUUAGCUCAGUGGUAGAGCGCUGGUCUCGUAAACCAGAGGUCAAGAGUUCAAUCCUCUUAGAAGGCA
Non-coding RNA from Daphnia magna, 72 nucleotides. The record is from the annotation of a RefSeq genome assembly. Lineage: Eukaryota; Metazoa; Arthropoda; Branchiopoda; Diplostraca; Daphniidae.